CAAAAUCAAGACCAGUUAAAUGAUUUCUCCAAGGUAGUAUCAAUACUUUGAACAUACGGGUUUAAAUUAUUUCUUCUAUAGUCCUCUAAGUGGAAUUACCAAUUUAAAGACAUUAAUUCUUUAAUGGCCCAUUGCUAGGUAGAUUUUCUGAACAAUCAAAUAAAAAUUGCACUGCUGCAAAUUAUGUAUUACUCUCCCUGCCCUCCAACCCCAACUGCCACCAACCAGUGCUUCUAAUUUUGAGCCUUAAUUUAUUUAAAAGUUUUAAUUGUUGUGUAAUUGUGCCCCACAAUGUCCAUUUUCAUAUCAAAGAAGCCUAGCAAGGCUGUGCAUUUUUCAUUUUGGUAAUUUGAUAUUUGCAAGUCUGCAUGUGUAAAUAGUUUGUCGAUGAUUAAUAGUUUA
Molecule: long non-coding RNA, 402 nt
Filed under: Bos taurus (domestic cattle)
Lineage: Eukaryota; Metazoa; Chordata; Mammalia; Artiodactyla; Bovidae
Description: long non-coding RNA NONBTAT019397
Source: RNAcentral